This 439-nucleotide ribosomal RNA is filed under the name uncultured bacterium. RNAcentral describes it as "partial 16S ribosomal RNA". It matches the Rfam family "Bacterial small subunit ribosomal RNA", at positions 339 to 795 of the family's 1533-position model. The record is from RNAcentral.
CUACGGGUUGCUCCAGUGGGGAAUAUUGCACAAUGGAGGAAACUCUGAUGCAGCAACGCCGCGUGGAGGAUGACACUUUUCGGAGCGUAAACUCCUUUUAUAUAGGAAGAAGAUGACGGUACUAUAUGAAUAAGCGCCGGCUAACUCCGCGCCAGCAGCCGCGGUAAUACGGAGGGCGCAAGCGUUACUCGGAAUCACUGGGCGUAAAGAGCGUGUAGGCGGAUUAAAAAGUCAGAAGUGAAAUCCUAUAGCUUAACUAUAGAACUGCUUCUGAAACUCUUAAUCUAGAAUAUGGGAGAGGUAGAUGGAAGUUCUGGUGUAGGGGUAAAAUCCGUAGAGAUCAGAAGGAAUACCGAUUGCGAAGGCGAUCUACUAGAACAUUAUUGACGCUGAGACGCGAAAGCGUGGGGAGCAAACAGGAUUAGAUACCCUCGUAGUC